ACUCCUACGGGAGGCAGCAGUGGGAAUAUUGCACAAUGGGCGCAAGCCUGAUACGCAGCCAUGCCGCGUGUGAUGAAGCAGCUUCGGGUUGUAAAGCACUUUCAGUUGUGAGGAAAGGUUAGUCGCUAAUAUCGGCUAGCUGUGACGUUAGCAACAGAAGAAGCACCGGCUAACUCCGUGCCAGCAGCCGCGGUAAUACGGAGGGUGCGAGCGUUAAUCGGAAUUACUGGGCGUAAAGCGCGUGUAGGUGGCUUGUUAAGCCAGAUGUGAAAGCCCGCCGUCAACCUGGGAACUGCAUUUGGAACUGGCAGGCUAGAGUUUUGUAGAGGGUGGUAGAAUUUCAGGUGUAGCGGUGAAAUGCGUAGAGAUCUGAAGGAAUACCGGUGGCGAAGGCGACCACCUGGCCAAUAACUGACACUGAGACGCGAAGGCGUGGGUAGCAAACGGGAUUAGAUACCCUGGUAGGACAGU
This 471-nucleotide ribosomal RNA is filed under the name uncultured bacterium. RNAcentral's name for it is "bacterial SSU rRNA". It matches the Rfam family "Bacterial small subunit ribosomal RNA", at positions 335 to 799 of the family's 1533-position model. The record is from RNAcentral.